This 397-nucleotide ribosomal RNA is filed under the name uncultured soil bacterium. RNAcentral describes it as "bacterial SSU rRNA". It matches the Rfam family "Bacterial small subunit ribosomal RNA", at positions 26 to 429 of the family's 1533-position model. The record is from RNAcentral.
AGAUUGAACGCUGGCGGCAUGCCUAACACAUGCAAGUCGAACGGGAGUAGCAAUACUCUAGUGGCGGACGGGUGAGGAAUACGUAGGAAUUUGCCCUUAAGUGGGGGAUAACCCGGGGAAACCCGGAUUAAUACCGCAUGACCUCGAAAGAGCAAAGUGGGGGAUCGCAAGACCGUCACGCUUUUGGAGAAGCCUACGUCGGAUUAGCUAGUUGGUGAGGUAAUGGCUCACCAAGGCGACGAUCCGUAACUGGUCUGAGAGGAUGAUCAGUCACACCGGAACUGAGACACGGUCCGACUCCUACGGGAGCAGCCGUGGGGAACUAGUUGGACAAGUGGGCGCAAGCCUGAUCCAGGCAAUCGCCGCGUAGUGUGAAGAAGGCCUUACGGGUUGUAAA